RNAcentral lists this ribosomal RNA (359 nucleotides) under uncultured eukaryote. RNAcentral's name for it is "partial 18S ribosomal RNA". It matches the Rfam family "Eukaryotic small subunit ribosomal RNA", at positions 592 to 975 of the family's 1831-position model. The record is from RNAcentral.
CAAUAGCAUAUAUUAACGUUGUUGCAGUUGAAAAGCUCGUAGUUGAACUUUUGGUAGGAGCGACCUGGCCUUGGGCGCAUGCCCUUGUUUGCCGUGUGUCGUGUCUGGCCAUCCUUUUCCGUUUCGGCGGGAAUCUUUUACUGUGAGUAAACUGGAGUGCUCAAAACAAGACGUUUGUUUGGUACAUUAAAGCAUGGAAUAAUAAGAUAGGACCUGGUUACUAUUUUGUUGGUUUGCAUAGCUAGGUAAUGAUUAACAGGGACAGUUGGGGGUAUUCGUAUUUAAUUGUCAGAGGUGAAAUUCUUGGAUUUAUGAAAGACGAACGACUGCGAAAGCAUUUACCAAGGAUGUUUNCAUUA